RNAcentral lists this ribosomal RNA (253 nucleotides) under uncultured bacterium. RNAcentral describes it as "partial 16S ribosomal RNA". It matches the Rfam family "Bacterial small subunit ribosomal RNA", at positions 524 to 776 of the family's 1533-position model. The record is from RNAcentral.
UACAGAGGUCUCAAGCGUUGUUCGGAUUCAUUGGGCGUAAAGGGUGCGUAGGCGGCGCGGUAAGUCGGGUGUGAAAUCUCGGAGCUUAACUCCGAAACUGCAUUCGAUACUGCCGUGCUCGAGGACUGGAGAGGAGACUGGAAUUUACGGUGUAGCGGUGAAAUGCGUAGAUAUCUGGAGGAACACCGGUGGCGAAGGCGGCAUCCUGGACCAACACUGACACUGAUGAGCGAAAGCCAGGGGAGCAAACGGG